Molecule: long non-coding RNA, 5392 nt
Filed under: Canis lupus familiaris (dog)
Lineage: Eukaryota; Metazoa; Chordata; Mammalia; Carnivora; Canidae
Description: lncRNA (ENSCAFG00030007975.1)
Source: RNAcentral
AUCCACCGUCGGGGGCGCCCGGCCGGGGCUGCCCGCGGGCGGCGCGUGAGGGGCUCGCGGCCGGAGGGGCGCCGCGACCCGAGCCCGGGGAGCCCGGGGAGCCCGGGGAGCCCGGGGAGCCCGGGAGCCGCGGCCGCCGCACACAAAGGCGCGGCCACGCGAGCCGCGGGAGAGCGGGAGGCGGCCCGGGGGACGCGCCCCGCCGGGGCACCGAGGCAGCGCUGCGCGCGGGCCGUGCGCCCGGGGCGCGGGGCGCGGCGCGGGGGCCCGGGCGGCGCGGCGAGUUCAGGUGCGCGGGGCGAGGCUGGGACGGCGGCGGCGGCGGCUGGCCCCGCUCCUCCUCCUCCUCCCGGGCGGACUGAGCAGAGGAGCGGCGGAGACAAGGGGCCCGGCCCCUCCCCUCCUUCCCCCCUCCUGCUCCGCCGCCGGUCCCCUCCCCGCGCCGCCGCCGCUCCGCCCCUCCCACCGCGGGCAGCUGGCGCGCCGCCCGCCCCGCCGGUGCGCUCCCCGGCCCGGCCCGCCCCCGGGCGCGCCGACCCCGCCCCGGCCCGCCCCGGCCCGCCCCGCCCCGCCGCGGCCCCUGCCCCGCGCCCCGCGCCCCGCGCCCCGCGCCCCGCGCAGCCCGGCAGCGCCCGUCGCGCGCGCCGCGGCUCCCCCUCCCGGGCCCCUCUGCUCCCCACCUCGCCCCCCUCCCUCCCUCCCGGUCCUCUUUGUCCCCGAUGCCUCGGAGCGCUCCUCGCUCCCUUCCAAGCCUCGGCCGCCGGCCCGGUGCCCGGUGUGGCCCUCCCAGCCCCCCUGCCGCGCCCCGCGGCGCCCGGCCCCCGGCUCCCGUCGCGGCGUCCCCUCGCCGUCCGCUCCCUUGCCGCCCCUCGCCCCGUUUGUCCCUCGUGGGGCCGGCCCCCGGCCCGCCUGCCCUCCGCCGCCCUCCCAGCGCGAAUGGCCCCUGCUCGGCGGCACCUCCCCGGCAGCCAGCCCGCGGGAGGGCCUCCCGGGGGCCGGGGCCGGGCCCCCAGGUACACCUGUGGUGUUCUCCAGGAGGGGUGUUGGGGCCUGACCUUUCACAGUGAAAAGAAAAGAAGGAAGGGAGGAGAGAAAACAAGAAAAGAACUCAGGACGGUGGUUUCCAAAUUUGUAAAGCAGGAUGAGGCACACGAGACGUUCUCAACAAAUGACGGUGAUGGUUGGGAGAGCAGUGGUCUCCAGAGCUUCCAGAGUCUCAGCGGAGAGCUGUGAGAGGCGGUGCAGCCCGGCACCCCAAAGGGUAGGUUCUGGCGCCAGCCUGCCUGAGUUUGAAUAUCCUGAAUCCACCAGGUCAACGAGGUACUUGACACUCUAGUGUGUCUGUCCUCAUCCAUGAGGUGUAGAUAACAGUACCUACCUUGUGGGUUUGUUGUGAAGAUUGGCAGAGCUGACCCUGUGAGGGGCUUGGCAUUCCAUGCACCAUGAGUGCUGAAUGGGUGAUACCUGUUAUUGCCCAGACCGAUGCGUGGGCUCAGCCUUUGUCACUAGAGGCAAAGUAUUGCCCCUCAUGUGUGGGGGAUACGUUCCAAGCCCCUCAGUGUUUGCCUGAAACUGAGGAUAGUACCAAACUGUGUAUAUUUUAUGUUUUUUCCUCUCCAUCCAUGGCUACACCAAAGUGUAGUUUAUCAAUCAGGCACAACAAGAGGUCAACAACAAUGAUAAGAAGAUAGAGUAGGGGUGUCUGGGGGUCUCAGUGGUUGAGCAUCUGCCUUCAGCUCAGGUUGGGGUCCUGGGAUCGAGUCCCACCUCUGGUUCCCCACAGGGAGCCUGCUUCUCCCUCUGCCUGUGUCUCUGCGUCUCUGUUUCUCAUGAAUAAAUAAAUAAAAUCUUAAUUUUUUAAAAAAAGAAGAUAGAGUAAUUGUAACACUAUGCUGUAAUUAAAAGUGAUGUGAUGUGGUCUCUCUCUCAAAAUAUCUUAUGCUGACCUCACCCUUCUUCAUCUUGAGAUAUGACACGAUGAGACGCCUACAUGAUGAGGUGGAGUGAGGGGAAUUGUAGGCAUCCUGACAUCAUGCAUCUUGGACCUUCUGAAUAUGUGUCAAAAGGAGCAAUAUCUGUUUUUUUUUUUUUUAAGAUUUUUAUUCAUUCAUGAGAGACACACAGAGAGAGAGAGGCAGAGACACAGGCAGAGGGAGAAGCAGGCUUCAUGCCGGGAGCCCGAUGCAGGACUUGAUCCCGGGUCUCCAGGAUUAGGCCCUGGGCCAAAGGCUGCGCUUACCCGCUGGGCCACCUGGGCUGCCUACAACAUCUGUUUCUGAACGGCGAUUGACCACAGGUAACUGAAACCUCAGGAAGCGAGUACAGGAAAGUGUGUGUGUGGGGGGACUUUUGUACAAUCUAGAAAAAGACAGAACCCCCUGAGCUACUGCCCAGGGAAGUGAAGCACAUUCGCUCAGGCUUUAGCCUUGUGGCUCACGUGCUUCCCAAUGGCCCACCUUCCAACAUCUUCUGUGCCUCACCCAGGGUCCUUCUCUGGCAUCCAGGGUCUGUUCUGCCCACGUGUUCAGCAGGGCACACGUCUCAGAGAAAAAAGGCCUCCCCCGCUGCCACCGCCCAAGGAAUAGCUCCCAACCAGUGAUUGACGAGAACACCGGGCCGGCUCCCCAGGAUAACUCUGCAGUGCACGUUCUGGAGCAGCUCUGGGCAAUCCCCAAGAGGAGGGAGCCCUGGUGCCCACUGGCUUGAUGACACAGCAUUCAUUGAUUGCCUUUCCACCCUGUCCCCAUUCCCCCCUUGAGGUUCCCUGGGAUCGUCUCCAAAGAAGUUACUUGCACUUGAAUCCUAUUCCCAGGAACCAAAUUGUGACAGAUACAAACCGAAGAGCCCAGCUGAAUACCCCAAAGUGCUAUGAUGUCUGUACAGGCUGCAGGUGCCAAGAAUCCAUGGGUGACACCCGGAGACAGGCCUUUCGCCCUGGCUUCCCACAGUGGGAAACUGUUAUUCCUCUGGCUACUGGAGAUCUGCACUCCACGAAUCCGCCCACAGGUCCUCUUCUGGGAGCUUCCUUGGCAAUGUCCCUGGAGGCCGGGAGCCACGGUGGGCUGAUGCAAGAAGCCAGGAUGGUGUCUCUAGGCUGCUCCACGUCAACACGAGCAACUGAACAAGAAGAAGCACACUCCAUGCAGGCAAAUUGGAGCUUUCCCUCCAUUCUUUUGCUCCUUCUUUAUAAUAGGGUGUAAAAAUGGAAAAAUAUGUCAGCCUUUGGCCCCUUCCCAGUAAAAAGAUAAAAAUGUUUUAAAAGAUCGUAAUUAAAAAAAAUAAAUAAAUGAUCGUAAUAAUUAGAACAGUAAACUGAGCUGAGAGAAGUCUGUCUCAUGCAAAUGAAAGACUAUUAGAUGCCCUCCUGGACCAGAUAAGGAGUUGGUGGGGUGGAAGGGAGGAUUUAGAAGUGCUGCUUCGGCACAAUUGGCGUGCGAAUAAGUCAAGUUCUAGCGCAAUUUUCCAUGCAAAAUAAAAACACAGAAGGAGAAGGGGAGGCGGGGAACCCGCACGAGACCCUCAGAGUCAGCACUGACCCUCAAGCAUUCACUGGAGAAAAUGAAUGUAUUAUGGAGACAAAUGUGCCUUCUCCCAGAAAGUCACUCCACACCAGACAAACACACCAUCGGUUUGACCCUUCCUUUGCACACUGGCCCAGAGUUUGAACAUAUAACAGAAGACCAGAAUGUGGGAGAGGGUGGUACCCAGGCCCUAGAAAAAUCAAGGAGAUUAAAGAGCAGCUUUCCUUCAAAGAAAUUUAAAUUUUGUAACAAAUCGGGGCCUGGACAGUUUGGAGGAGCACACAGAACACUCAGAACCCCCUCCUGAGGCUCUUCCAAAACCAACACGGUCAUUUCCAACCACUCACAGGUGUUUUUCCUCCCAAAACAAACACAGAAACAAAUAUUUACAGAGUUAUGAAAAUUCAACAGAAGUCACCUGGACUCAGAGCUUCCCCCACCUGUGCUCAAGAUCUCUGGCCCUGGGAUUAUUAGCCAGAAUGUUACACCUAGUUUCCAUGGUGGGACAGGAAACCCUGGGGCCCCGAGAGAAUUUGUUCCCAGAAUGUAUUCAUAAGAAUAAAUGCUGUCUCUUCUCAAGAAAGUGUUUGCAGCUCCGAGGGAAGAAUAGCUUUCAGACAAAGGAAACGUCAGUGGCUUUCCCCCCUACAUCUGCCAAAAUUUGCAACACGGCCCUUGAAGAGCGCAUGACCAUGUUGUGAAUCGAUCCAUCAUGUUCAUCAACAGCCCUGAGUGCGGUGCUGGCUGUUGUGUCGCUGACCACCUUGAAUAAUUUUUCAUUGGGCUGUUUCUGGGAAAGGCCCCCUGUUGGCUUUUCCUGAAUGUCCCAGAUGUGAACCAGAUCUCAAAAUUAGGAAAUGCGGCUGGGGAGGGGUUUCUGUCCACACUGCUAUGUCACCCUUUGGCCUUCUUUGGUGGAUCUAGAAGGACCAGGUAAGCAAAGGAUGUGGAUGUGAUAUGGGGGGAGGGAGGAAAGGAAAAGACAGGAAGGGAAGGAGAAAUGAAAUAAGUGUGGGAACGGGGAGGAGGCCAAGAAGAGAGGAAGGAGCAGGAAGGGAGAGAAUGGAAAGGGGAAAAGAGGGAGAGAGGCGGGAAGGGAGAAAAAGAGAAUGAGAGAGACCCAGAGACAGAGAGAGAGAGACAGACGUAGAUCUGCUGCUGUCAGACCCUCACUGGUUUCUACCAAGGAGCCAGAUAGCCGCUCAGUGAAAAGCUGAGAUUAAGCUCACAACAUAAUUUCCAUUAUGUUAAUGUUGCUUUAAAAUAUAUUGCACAGAGUGCUGCAACAAUCAAAUUAUCAAUUAUAAUGUCUACUCAGAGUAGAAAAGUGUUGCAAACAGAGGGCUGAUUACUGCUUCAGUACAUCCAAUCUGCAUACUCAUUGUUCAGUACAGGGAAAACAAAUUAUCUUGUGUUGGCCCCAGUUCAAAUUUAAUUAAAUGAGUGCAAAGCAAUUAUAAUAAAGUACAAUAGUGUAGUAAUGAAAGGAAAAUAACUCAUUAACCUAUUAAUCUUUAUUUAUGUUCCUCUCAAAUAACUAUGUAAUUUCUUUAUCACCGCAUCCCAUAAGAAGAAAUAGGGUCUCACUGCUUGUGGCCUGGUUUAACAGGUUCUAUUUGGUGAAGAUGCCUAUGCGCCGACCAUGCAUACCAACUUUCCCUAGCUUUGGGGCCACCUCCCAACCCUUCCAUUAAGCUUCCUGCCCACAUAUAAUGGACAUGGUCUAGACUGAGUGCUUCUCUUCUGGUUGAGGGAGAGCCUGGUGCUUUGAGUCUGAAGAGCUACCAAUAACUCACUCUUCACAGCACUUUCCAUUUGACAAUGUUUUUCGCAUAUAUGGUCUCACUUAAGUCUUGUGACAACAGUGGCAU